GACGAACGCUGGCGGCGUGCUUAACACAUGCAAGUCGAGCGAUGAAUUUUCUUCGGAGAUGGAUUAGCGGCGAACGGGUGAGGAACACGUGAAGAAUCUGCCCUCCACUUUGGGAUAACACAGGGAAACAUGUGCUAAUACCGAAUAUUGAAACAUAAGUGGCAUCACGGAGUUUUGAAAGAAUUUCGGUGGAGGAUGAAUUCGCGGCCUAUCAGCUAGUUGGUGAGGUAAUGGCUCACCAAGGCAACGACGGGUAGCCGGCCUGAGAGGGCGACCGGCCACACUGGGACUGAGACACGGCCCAGACUCCUACGGGAGGCAGCAGUGGGGAAUAUUGGGCAAUGGAGGAAACUCUGACCCAGCGACGCCGCGUGCGGGAUGAAGGCCUUCGGGUUGUAAACCGCUUUCAGUAGGGAAGAAGCGAAAGUGACGGUACCUACAAAAGAAGCACCGGCUAACUAUGUGCCAGCCGCCGCCGUAA
RNAcentral lists this ribosomal RNA (481 nucleotides) under uncultured bacterium. RNAcentral describes it as "partial 16S ribosomal RNA". It matches the Rfam family "Bacterial small subunit ribosomal RNA", at positions 28 to 523 of the family's 1533-position model. The record is from RNAcentral.